This 616-nucleotide ribosomal RNA is filed under the name uncultured bacterium. RNAcentral's name for it is "bacterial SSU rRNA". It matches the Rfam family "Bacterial small subunit ribosomal RNA", at positions 338 to 950 of the family's 1533-position model. The record is from RNAcentral.
CCUACGGGAGGCAGCAGUGGGGAAUUUUGGACAAUGGGCGCAAGCCUGAUCCAGCAAUGCCGCGUGAGUGAAGAAGGCCUUCGGGUUGUAAAGCUCUUUUGUCAGGGAAGAAAAGGUAGCCUCUAAUACAGGCUGCUCAUGACGGUACCUGAAGAAUAAGCACCGGCUAACUACGUGCCAGCAGCCGCGGUAAUACGUAGGGUGCAAGCGUUAAUCGGAAUUACUGGGCGUAAAGCGUGCGCAGGCGGUUAUAUAAGUCAGCUGUGAAAUCCCCGGGCUCAACCUGGGAACUGCAGUUGAGACUGUAUGGCUAGAGUGUGUCAGAGGGGGGUAGAAUUCCACGUGUAGCAGUGAAAUGCGUAGAUAUGUGGAGGAAUACCGAUGGCGAAGGCAGCCCCCUGGGAUAACACUGACGCUCAUGCACGAAAGCGUGGGGAGCAAACAGGAUUAGAUACCCUGGUAGUCCACGCCCUAAACGAUGUCUACUAGUUGUUGGGUCUUAAUUGACUUAGUAACGCAGCUAACGCGUGAAGUAGAACCGCCUGGGGAGUUACGGUCGCAAGNUUAAACUUCAAGGAUUGACGGCUUGAGAGNGCGAGNGACGACGAGGAGGAGG